GUCAAAAAUUACAAUAAAUUGCAUUUUUUUUUAAAUUGCUCUUAGAUAAAGUACAAAGAAAAUAUAUGCGUUUCCCCUAUCAGCCAAUCAGAACCCUGUGAUCUCUUUAUUUUUACAGAGAUCGGCGCAUUAUCCCCCAUGUCCGCCGCGGGGGGAAACUAUUUGGGCGGUCCGCCUUCCGCAACUGUUUUAUUACUCAUCGGGUAAGCUACCCCUACUGUUUUCUAUGUAAUUUUUAUUGUUGCUGAACUGUAUCGUAUGACUUUAUUGUAUUAUGUAUUUUAUAGAUUGGCUCUCCUGAAGAAGCGCUAUUCCAGCGAAACUAGUAGAGAUUUCGUCCAAUCUUUGAUCUGUAUGAUUGUUUUGUAUUUUUUAUCUGUAAUAAAUCCUUUUUAAUGCAA
Molecule: long non-coding RNA, 401 nt
Organism: Rana temporaria (common frog)
Lineage: Eukaryota; Metazoa; Chordata; Amphibia; Anura; Ranidae
Exons: 2
Source: RefSeq, a predicted model, not a curated record